UAUUAAACACAAACUUGGUAUCCAGGAAACGCUCCAAGGUAAAGGAUGAUCUGAAGAAAACAGGCUUUGGAGAUAAAAACCCUAUAUGUGGCCCAGUGGUGACAUCUGCUAAGAGGCAAUGCCCAGAGGCCAAGCAGAGGGUUAUCAUGGGAACAGUGAACUAGGGCCGUCACCCUACUAAUACUCAUCCUACAUAAAGGAAGGAUUUUGAGAGUAUUACCGAGUAAGAAGUUACACAUGAUAAGAUUUCUGUCGUCCUCUGCUGUAGAGCCAGACAUCUGCUCGAAGCAUCAAUACCAAUGCUUCACAUCACCAAAACUCGUCACUAACCACCAUGUGCUUCUUCUUUUUAAAGGCCACUUGCCUGAAAAAGAUUUCAGUGCAUGGAACGGAUAUCGUUGGUCAUAACUCAGAUUCGUCGUGUUUGCUUCUGUUUUGUUGCUGUUGUUUUGUUUUUGGUUUUUUUAACGUUGAUGAAUGCACUAUUUUACCACUGUAAAUUUACCUCAUAGUUCCUUUGUUUUGGGUAAAGUACAACCACAAAGCAAAUUAAAAUUUUCUCAUUGUCCUUUGUGGUGGUGGUGGUGGUGGAGACCCCUUAAAUCAGGAGUAGAUGCCUGGGAUAGAGCAACUCUGGGACGUAAUUUCUUAGGAAUCCUGGGUCUUUCCCCCCACCCCCCCACUCUUUCCCUUAGAGAAAGCUCUUAGGUCUCUAGUCUGGCCCUUUUCCAGGUCCUCAGUGUCCAAUCUAUCUGCAGGCCCCAAAGCAAAUCUACAUGAGGUCUUUUUUCCACUUCUCCACUUUCUGGGUAUCAAGGACUUUAAUUUUUUUCCAAAUAUCCAAUAGCUUUCUUGUAGGGUCUACACAGGCCUCUUUACUGGUUUAUUGAGUCGGGUUUAUUGAGAACACUCC
Molecule: long non-coding RNA, 913 nt
Filed under: Mus musculus (house mouse)
Lineage: Eukaryota; Metazoa; Chordata; Mammalia; Rodentia; Muridae
Description: long non-coding RNA chr13:107054929-107055842
Source: RNAcentral